Molecule: ribosomal RNA, 695 nt
Filed under: uncultured bacterium
Lineage: Bacteria
Description: bacterial SSU rRNA
Rfam family: Bacterial small subunit ribosomal RNA
Source: RNAcentral
AGAGGAGCUUGCUCCUUGGGUGGCGAGUGGCGGACGGGUGAGGAAUACAUCGGAAUCUACUCUGUCGUGGGGGAUAACGUAGGGAAACUUACGCUAAUACCGCAUACGACCUACGGGUGAAAGCAGGGGAUCUUCGGACCUUGCGCGAUUGAAUGAGCCGAUGUCGGAUUAGCUAGUUGGCGGGGUAAAGGCCCACCAAGGCGACGAUCCGUAGCUGGUCUGAGAGGAUGAUCAGCCACACUGGAACUGAGACACGGUCCAGACUCCUACGGGAGGCAGCAGUGGGGAAUAUUGGACAAUGGGCGCAAGCCUGAUCCAGCCAUACCGCGUGGGUGAAGAAGGCCUUCGGGCUGUAAAGCCCUUUUGUUGGGAAAGAAAUCCAGCUGGUUAAUACCCGGUUGGGAUGACGGUACCCAAAGAAUAAGCACCGGCUAACUUCGUGCCAGCAGCCGCGGUAAUACGAAGGGUGCAAGCGUUACUCGGAAUUACUGGGCGUAAAGCGUGCGUAGGUGGUCGUUUAAGUCCGUUGUGAAAGCCCUGGGCUCAACCUGGGAACUGCAGUGGAUACUGGACGACUAGAGUGUGGUAGAGGGUAGCGGAAUUCCUGGUGUAGCAGUGAAAUGCGUAGAGAUCAGGAGGAACAUCCAUGGCGAAGGCAGCUACCUGGACCAACACUGACACUGAGGCACGAAAGC